Molecule: unclassified non-coding RNA, 313 nt
Filed under: plant metagenome
Description: partial contains 5.8S ribosomal RNA, internal transcribed spacer 2, and large subunit ribosomal RNA
Rfam family: 5.8S ribosomal RNA (bases 1-105)
Source: RNAcentral
GAAAUGCGAUACGUAGUGUGAAUUGCAGAAUUUAGUGAAUCAUCAAAUCUUUGAACGCACAUUGCGCCCUUUGGUAUUCCAAAGGGCAUGCCUGUUCGAGCGUCAUUUGUACCCUCAAGCUUUGCUUGGUGUUGGGCGUUUUUUGUCUUUGGCUCGCCCAAAGACUCGCCUUAAAACGAUUGGCAGCCGGCCUACUGGUUUCGCAGCGCAGCACAUUUUUGCGCUUGCAAUCAGCAAAAGAGGACGGCAAUCCAUCAAGACUCCUUCUCACGUUUGACCUCGGAUCAGGUAGGGAUACCCGCUGAACUUAAGC